Molecule: long non-coding RNA, 846 nt
Organism: Chinchilla lanigera (long-tailed chinchilla)
Lineage: Eukaryota; Metazoa; Chordata; Mammalia; Rodentia; Chinchillidae
Exons: 3
Source: RefSeq, a predicted model, not a curated record
CAGGAACUCUGACCCUGUUAAGUCAAGCCUCACUCCUGUGGUCCUGCUUGUGUGUCUCUGGUAAUAUGGGCUUCUAAAGGGAGGGGCUCUGAAGUUUCCUUAUCUGGUGAAUGAAUCAUCUUCCAAAAAAAAGAAAGGAACUGCUGUAAACCUCCUUAGGAAUCUCAAGUAAGGAGGAAAGAACAAGUCCUGAAGAAGGAAGGGAGAAACUGAAAGUUACCACCAGCCCAGUCAGACUGGUCAUCUAUUCUUCUGAAGACAGGCUUGGAGUUCCCUGGGAUACCCGAUCUGCAUAAGCCACCCUGGGCUGAUAGUGAAGUUCCAUUCCUCACCUCCUAUUCCUGCAAUCCAAAUUUUUCCACUGUAAUCACUAAGACACAAACUGCUGUCUCUGAAGCUCUAUGAGAUAAAGCUGGACAACUUGAUAUAAAUUUCACAGGACCAGUUUCAUGACUGAUACAUAGGCCACACAGAGAGUUCACCAGAAUCCCUGAUGCCAUAGCCAGAGACAUUCAGACUGCAAACCAGGAUAAGAAGGUGACAACUGCAUGCUGUGGACAGCUUUUCCAAAAUAUCAGAACAAGCUCCCCAUCAUAAUGAAGCUCUACUUCUGAGUUUUCCUGCUUGUGCCUACCUCUUUUGCUUGUCAGAACAAUGCUGGAGUUCGAAUUUCAUAAGCAGUAGCUUUUGCGUGUAAUUUGAUGAAAUGAUGGAUAUGAAACUGCUGUUCAAAUUGCACCUGUGGCUCCUUUGUAAGAUAGAGUCAGACUUCUAGACCUGUGUGUUCUCUUACCUACUUUAACCUAACCCAGCCAUGGCACACUAUAUAACCUACGAGCUGAAUAA